This 454-nucleotide ribosomal RNA is filed under the name Bacillus sp. 192-3.2-CV-H26(h)-02. RNAcentral's name for it is "bacterial SSU rRNA". It matches the Rfam family "Bacterial small subunit ribosomal RNA", at positions 47 to 479 of the family's 1533-position model. Lineage: Bacteria; Bacillati; Bacillota; Bacilli; Caryophanales; Bacillaceae. The record is from RNAcentral.
CCUAAUACAUGCAAGUCGAGCGAAUGGAUUGAGAGCUUGCUCUCAUGAAGUUAGCGGCGGACGGGUGAGUAACACGUGGGUAACCUGCCCAUAAGACUGGGAUAACUCCGGGAAACCGGGGCUAAUACCGGAUAAUAUUUUGAACUGCAUGGUUCGAAAUUGAAAGGCGGCUUCGGCUGUCACUUAUGGAUGGACCCGCGUCGCAUUAGCUAGUUGGUGAGGUAACGGCUCACCAAGGCAACGAUGCUGUAGCCGACCUGAGAGGGUGAUCGGCCACACUUGGGACUGAGACACGGCCCAGACUCCUACGGGAGGCAGCAGUAGGGAAUCUUCCGCAAUGGACGAAAGUCUGACGGAGCAACGCCGCGUGAGUGAUGAAGGCUUUCGGGUCGUAAAACUCUGUUGUUAGGGAAGAACAAGUGCUAGUUGAAUAAGCUGGCACCUUGACGGUCCU